CAGGUCUUCUGUUUCUUACUGAGGCAUGGC
This 30-nucleotide non-coding RNA is filed under the name Rattus norvegicus (Norway rat). The record is from RNAcentral. Lineage: Eukaryota; Metazoa; Chordata; Mammalia; Rodentia; Muridae.